AGAGUUUGAUCCUGGCUCAGGAUGAACGCUGGCGGCGUGCCUAAUACAUGCAAGUCGAGCGAACGGACGAGAAGCUUGCUUCUCUGAUGUUAGCGGCGGACGGGUGAGUAACACGUGGAUACCUACCUAUAAGACUGGGAUAACUUCGGGAACCGGAGCUAAUACCGGAUAAUAUUUGAACCGCAUGGUUCAAAAGUGAAAGACGGUCUUGCUGUCACUUAUAGAUGGAUCCGCGCUGCAUUAGCUAGUUGGUAAGGUAACGGCUUACCAAGGCAACGAUGCAUAGCCGACCUGAGAGGGUGAUCGGCCACACUGGAACUGAGACACGGUCCAGACUCCUACGGGAGGCAGCAGUAGGGAAUCUUCCGCAAUGGGCGAAAGCCUGACGGAGCAACGCCGCGUGAGUGAUGAAGGUCUUCGGAUCGUAAACUCUGUUAUUAGGGAAGAACAUAUGUGUAAGUAACUGUGCACAUCUUGACGGUACCUAAUCAGAAAGCCACGGCUAACUACGUGCCAGCAGCCGCGGUAAUACGUAGGUGGCAAGCGUUAUCCGGAAUUAUUGGGCGUAAAGCGCGCGUAGGCGGUUUUUUAAGUCUGAUGUGAAAGCCCACGGCUCAACCGUGGAGGGUCAUUGGAAACUGGAAACUUGAGUGCAGAAGAGGAAAGUGGAAUUCCAUGUGUAGCGGUGAAAUGCGCAGAGAUAUGGAGGAACACCAGUGGCGAAGGCGACUUUCUGGUCUGUAACUGACGCUGAUGUGCGAAAGCGUGGGGAUCAAACAGGAUUAGAUACCCUGGUAGUCCACGCCGUAAACGAUGAGUGCUAAGUGUUAGGGGGUUUCCGCCCCUUAGUGCUGCAGCUAACGCAUUAAGCACUCCGCCUGGGGAGUACGACGCAAGGUUGAAACUCAAAGGAAUUGACGGGGACCCGCACAAGCGGUGGAGCAUGUGGUUUAAUUCGAAGCAACGCGAAGAACCUUACCAAAUCUUGACAUCCUUUGACAACUCUAGAGAUAGAGCCUUCCCCUUCGGGGGACAAAGUGACAGGUGUGCAUGGUUGUCGUCAGCUCGUGUCGUGAGAUGUUGGGUUAGUCCGCAACGAGCGCAACCCUUAAGCUUAGUUGCCAUCAUUAAGUUGGGCACUCUAAGUUGACUGCCGGUGACAAACCGGAGGAAGGUGGGGAUGACGUCAAAUCAUCAUGCCCUUAUGAUUUGGGCUACACACGUGCUACAAUGGACAAUACAAAGGGCAGCGAAACGCGAGGUCAAGCAAAUCCCAUAAAGUUGUUCUCAGUUCGGAUUGUAGUCUGCAACUCGACUACAUGAAGCUGGAAUCGCUAGUAAUCGUAGAUCAGCAUGCUACGGUGAAUACGUUCCCGGGUCUUGUACACACCGCCCGUCACACCACGAGAGUUUGUAAACCCGAAGCCGGUGGAGUAACCUUUUAGGAGCUAGCCGUCGAAGGUGGGACAAAUGAUUGGGGUGAAGUCGUAACAAGGUAGCCGUAUCGGAAGGUGCGGCUGGAUCACCU
Molecule: ribosomal RNA, 1528 nt
Filed under: Staphylococcus aureus
Lineage: Bacteria; Bacillati; Bacillota; Bacilli; Caryophanales; Staphylococcaceae
Description: 16S ribosomal RNA
Rfam family: Bacterial small subunit ribosomal RNA
Source: RNAcentral